GGGUUCGUAGCUCAGUCGGUAGAGCAUUUGCCUUUUAAGCAAGUGGUCCCCGGUUCGAAUCCGGGCGGACCCA
This 73-nucleotide transfer RNA is filed under the name Spirobacillus cienkowskii. It matches the Rfam family "tRNA". Rfam says of the family: Transfer RNA (tRNA) molecules are approximately 80 nucleotides in length. The record is from Rfam by way of RNAcentral. RNAcentral also lists the same sequence under 2 other names. Lineage: Bacteria; Pseudomonadati; Bdellovibrionota; Oligoflexia; Silvanigrellales.